AGCCAGGCCUUGCUCUGGUCCAGUCUGUGGCGAAAAGGAGGACUGGGACAUCCCCGUGGAUGAGGAAAGGUUUUCCUGUUGGCACCCAGCAGAGAGACACCACAUGGUUUGUCAUCAGGAUUCAGCGAGAGGUGUCUUUGCUGGAGAUUCUCAUGGGAGUAACUUAAAGAAUCAGACCCUCAGUUUACAAAUUUUCCCAGGGAGGAGGAGAGGAGCAACACCUCAUCCCACUCUCUGGUGACUCCCAGCCUCUCUCUUCAAUCUCCCUCUCGCUCCUGGCCUGGCCUCUCCGUGCAGAUCCAGAGGUCUGGAUGUUACCAUCUGUUUUGAGUAGAAAAAGCUGCCAUUUUUUUUAAAAAGGUUGCAGAGUGAACAGGUUGGACCAGUUGCUGCCAGGGUGGAGUUCUAACUGUUUGUUAUUGUAAUCACUGGUCAUUUUUGUAAACUACCUGUCACUGAUGGUUAAGAACCACCAUCCAGGAGGAUGACCCUUCUCGGACAGUGAAAGGAGGGGACAUCGGAGGGCGUGCAAAUGACCUCGGAGCCAGCAUGCCAUGGGAAAGCCACCCCACCAAACUCACCAAAAGACCCCAAAAGCAACGAGCCAACAC
Molecule: long non-coding RNA, 611 nt
Organism: Zonotrichia albicollis (white-throated sparrow)
Lineage: Eukaryota; Metazoa; Chordata; Aves; Passeriformes; Passerellidae
Source: Ensembl